RNAcentral lists this ribosomal RNA (253 nucleotides) under uncultured bacterium. RNAcentral describes it as "partial 16S ribosomal RNA". It matches the Rfam family "Bacterial small subunit ribosomal RNA", at positions 524 to 776 of the family's 1533-position model. The record is from RNAcentral.
UACGUAGGGUGCGAGCGUUGUCCGGAAUUAUUGGGCGUAAAGAGCUUGUAGGCGGUCUGUCGCGUCUGCUGUGAAAAUCCGGGGCUCAACCCCGGACUUGCAGUGGGUACGGGCAGACUAGAGUGUGGUAGGGGAGACUGGAAUUCCUGGUGUAGCGGUGAAAUGCGCAGAUAUCAGGAGGAACACCGAUGGCGAAGGCAGGUCUCUGGGCCACUACUGACGCUGAGAAGCGAAAGCAUGGGGAGCGAACAGA